RNAcentral lists this ribosomal RNA (472 nucleotides) under uncultured Desulfocapsa sp. RNAcentral's name for it is "bacterial SSU rRNA". It matches the Rfam family "Bacterial small subunit ribosomal RNA", at positions 910 to 1382 of the family's 1533-position model. The record is from RNAcentral. Lineage: Bacteria; Pseudomonadati; Thermodesulfobacteriota; Desulfobulbia; Desulfobulbales; Desulfocapsaceae.
UUGACGGGGCCCGCACAAGCGGUGGAGCAUGUGGUUUAAUUCGAUGCAACGCGAAGAACCUUACCUGGGCUUGACAUCCCGGGAAUCCCUUGGAAACAAGGGAGUGCCCUUCGGGGAACCUGGAGACAGGUGCUGCAUGGCUGUCGUCAGCUCGUGUCGUGAGAUGUAGGGUUAAGUCCCGCAACGAGCGCAACCCUUGUCUUUAAUUGCCAUCAUUGAGUUGGGCACUCUAAAGAGACUGCCGGUGUCAAACCGGAGGAAGGUGGGGAUGACGUCAAGUCCUCAUGGCCUUUAUGACCAGGGCUACACACGUACUACAAUGGCCGGUACAAAGGGCAGCGACACAGCGAUGUGAAGCCAAUCCCGAAAAGCCGGUCUCAGUCCGGAUUGGAGUCUGCAACUCGACUCCAUGAAGUUGGAAUCGCUAGUAAUCGCGGAUCAGCACGCCGCGGUGAAUACGUUCCCGGGCCUU